Salvia splendens (bonfire salvia) is the source of this 494-nucleotide long non-coding RNA. RefSeq lists it as uncharacterized. NCBI's taxonomy places the organism in Eukaryota, Viridiplantae, Streptophyta, Magnoliopsida, Lamiales, Lamiaceae. The transcript is spliced from 2 exons. The record is from RefSeq and is a predicted model, not a curated record.
GAUAUAUUUUAUAUUAUACUCUUGAGUCCCAUAAAAAUAUGAUUAACUUACAUUUUUAUCAAAAUUAGGCGGCAGCACCGCCCCACCCUUCGGGGCGUAGCGCAGUUGGCAACGGAGAGGCAGAUCUUGCUGCAAUGGAAUUAUUUGAAUAACAAGUUCUAUUUAUUGAAUGGAUUAUCAUUUUCAGCCAUUUGGCAUGAGUUCGAAUUCAAUCAGGCUUAAAUUCUAUCUGAAGUGUAGUUGGCUUCAAUGUAUGCAUAAUUAAAUACUGAUUCCAAUGCGUUUAGGAAAGAUAAUAGAGCAUGAUGAGGUCAAUUAUUUUUAUUUUUAUUUUUAUUUUUAUUUUUAUUUUAUUUUAUUUUUAUUUUUAUUUUUAUUUUUAUUUUUAUUUUUAUUUUUAUUUUUAUUUUUAUUUUUAUUUUUAUUUUUAUUUUCAAGUUAGAACAAUUGUAACGAGCAAACGCAUGAGGGCAAUAGCACUUUACCUUACCUAA